UACAGAGGUCUCAAGCGUUGUUCGGAUUCAUUGGGCGUAAAGGGUGCGUAGGCGGCGUGGUAAGUCGGAUGUGAAAUCUCGGAGCUUAACUCCGAAACUGCAUUCGAUACUGCCGUGCUUGAGGACUGGAGAGGAGACUGGAAUUUACGGUGUAGCGGUGAAAUGCGUAGAUAUCGUAAGGAAGACCAGUGGCGAAGGCGGGGCUCUGGACAGUUCCUGACGCUGAGGCACGAAGGCCAGGGGAGCAAACGGG
RNAcentral lists this ribosomal RNA (253 nucleotides) under uncultured bacterium. RNAcentral describes it as "partial 16S ribosomal RNA". It matches the Rfam family "Bacterial small subunit ribosomal RNA", at positions 524 to 776 of the family's 1533-position model. The record is from RNAcentral.